AGAAACUUAGGCUAAUACAGACCAAAGACCUUCAAAGCCUUAAGCGAAGGUUUAAUUCCUUCAGUUUCUG
Molecule: transfer RNA, 70 nt
Filed under: Glandirana tientaiensis (Tientai rough-skinned frog)
Lineage: Eukaryota; Metazoa; Chordata; Amphibia; Anura; Ranidae
Description: Rugosa tientaiensis (Tientai rough-skinned frog) tRNA-Trp
Rfam family: tRNA
About the family: Transfer RNA (tRNA) molecules are approximately 80 nucleotides in length.
Source: RNAcentral